GUGGGGAAUCUUCCGCAAUGGACGAAAGUCUGACGGAGCGACGCCGCGUGAGUGAAGAAGGCCUUCGGGUCGUAAAGCUCUGUCAUCAGGGACGAACGGCCGGUGGAGUGGAAAGCCACCGGAUUGACGGUACCUGAGAAGGAAGCCACGGCUAACUACGUGCCAGCAGCCGCGGUAAUACGUAGGUGGCAAGCGUUGUCCGGAAUUAUUGGGCGUAAAGCGCGCGCAGGUGGGAUCUUAAGUCCAUUUUGAAAGUUCGGAGCUCAACUCCGUGAUGGGAUGGAAACUGGGAUUCUUGAGUACCGGAGAGGAAAGCGGAAUUCCCCGUGUAGCGGUGAAAUGCGUAGAUAUGGGGAGGAACACCAGUGGCGAAGGCGGCUUUCUGGACGGUGUCUGACACUGAGGCGCGAAAGCUAGGGGAGCGAACGGGAUUAGAAACCCCGGUAGUCC
This 450-nucleotide ribosomal RNA is filed under the name uncultured bacterium. RNAcentral's name for it is "partial 16S ribosomal RNA". It matches the Rfam family "Bacterial small subunit ribosomal RNA", at positions 354 to 796 of the family's 1533-position model. The record is from RNAcentral.